RNAcentral lists this ribosomal RNA (413 nucleotides) under uncultured prokaryote. RNAcentral describes it as "bacterial SSU rRNA". It matches the Rfam family "Bacterial small subunit ribosomal RNA", at positions 505 to 918 of the family's 1533-position model. The record is from RNAcentral.
GUGUCAGCCGCCGCGGUAAUACGAAAGGGGCUAGCGUUGUUCGGAAUUACUGGGCGUAAGGCGCGCGUAGGCGGCCUUGCAAGUUGGGGGUGAAAUCCCGGAGCUCAACUCCGGAACUGCCUUCAAAACUGCAAAGCUAGAGGAUGCGAGAGGUGAGCGGAAUUCCGAGUGUAGAGGUGAAAUUCGUAGAUAUUCGGAAGAACACCAGUGGCGAAGGCGGCUCACUGGCGCAUUUCUGACGCUGAGGCGCGAAAGCGUGGGGAGCAAACAGGAUUAGAUACCCUGGUAGUCCACGCCGUAAACGAUGAGGGCUAGUUGUCGGGCGGCUUGCCGUUCGGUGACGCAGCUAACGCAUUAAGCCCUCCGCCUGGGGAGUACGGUCGCAAGAUUAAAACUCAAAUGAAUUGGCGGGG